AAAAGCUCAAAUUUGAAAUCUGGCUCUUUCAGAGUCCGAGUUGUAAUUUGAAGAAGGUAUCUUUGGGUCUGGCUCUUGUCUAUGUUUCUUGGAACAGAACGUCACAGAGGGUGAGAAUCCCGUGCGAUGAGAUGAUCCAGGCCUAUGUAAAGUUCCUUCGAAGAGUCGAGUUGUUUGGGAAUGCAGCUCUAAGUGGGUGGUAAAUUCCAUCUAAAGCUAAAUAUUGGCGAGAGACCGAUAGCGAACAAGUACAGUGAUGGAAAGAUGAAAAGAACUUUGAAAAGAGAGUGAAAAAGUACGUGAAAUUGUUGAAAGGGAAGGGCUUGAGAUCAGACUUGGUAUUUUGUAUGUUACUUCUUCGGGGGUGGCCUCUACAGUUUAUCGGGCCAGCAUCAGUUUGGGCGGUAGGAGAAUUGCGUUGGAAUGUGGCACGGCUUCGGUUGUGUGUUAUAGCCUUCGUCGAUACUGCCAGCCUAGACUGAGGACUGCGGUUUAUACCUAGGAUGUUGGCAUAAUGAUCUUAAGUCGCCCGUCUUGAAACACGGACCA
This 549-nucleotide ribosomal RNA is filed under the name Candida tropicalis. RNAcentral describes it as "partial large subunit ribosomal RNA". It matches the Rfam family "Eukaryotic large subunit ribosomal RNA", at positions 103 to 668 of the family's 3401-position model. Lineage: Eukaryota; Fungi; Ascomycota; Pichiomycetes; Serinales; Debaryomycetaceae. The record is from RNAcentral.